UGCUAUGACAGCUCAGUUGGUAGAGUGUGAGACUCGUAAUCUCAGAGUUGUGGGUUUGAGUCCCAAGUUGGGCAG
Non-coding RNA from Podarcis lilfordi (Lilford's wall lizard), 75 nucleotides. The record is from the annotation of a GenBank genome assembly. NCBI's taxonomy places the organism in Eukaryota, Metazoa, Chordata, Lepidosauria, Squamata, Lacertidae.